ACCGUACUCCUACGGGAGGCAGCAGUGGGGAAUUUUGGACAAUGGGGGCAACCCUGAUCUAGCCAUGCCGCGUGAGCGAUGAAGGCCUUAGGGUUGUAAAGCUCUUUCAGUGGGGAAGAUAAUGACUGUACCCACAGAAGAAGCCCCGGCUAACUCCGUGCCAGCAGCCGCGGUAAUACGGAGGGGGCUAGCGUUGUUCGGAAUUACUGGGCGUAAAGCGCACGUAGGCGGACUGGAAAGUCAGAGGUGAAAUCCCAGGGCUCAACCUUGGAACUGCCUUUGAAACUCCCGGUCUUGAGGUCGAGAGAGGUGAGUGGAAUUCCGAGUGUAGAGGUGAAAUUUGUAGAUAUUCGGAGGAACACCAGUGGCGAAGGCGGCUCACUGGCUCGAUACUGACGCUGAGGUGCGAAAGCGUGGGGAGCAAACAGGAUUAGAUACCCCGGUAGUCCUUGAC
RNAcentral lists this ribosomal RNA (454 nucleotides) under uncultured bacterium. Its description in RNAcentral is "bacterial SSU rRNA". It matches the Rfam family "Bacterial small subunit ribosomal RNA", at positions 330 to 801 of the family's 1533-position model. The record is from RNAcentral.